Molecule: ribosomal RNA, 244 nt
Filed under: uncultured bacterium
Lineage: Bacteria
Description: partial 16S ribosomal RNA
Rfam family: Bacterial small subunit ribosomal RNA
Source: RNAcentral
CGUAGGGUAACCUGCCUUAUAGUGGGGGAGUAGCCUUUCGAAAGGAAGAUUAAUACCGCAUAAGAUUGUAGUAUCGCAUGAUAUAGCAAUUAAAGGAAGCAAUCCGCUAUAAGAUGGACCCGCGUCGCAUUAGCUAGUUGGUGAGGUGAUGGCUCACCAAGGCGACGAUGCGUAGCCGACCUGAGAGGGUGAUCGGCCACAUUGGGACUGAGACACGGCCCAGACUCCUACGGGAGGCAGCAUG